Eptesicus fuscus (big brown bat) is the source of this 539-nucleotide long non-coding RNA. RefSeq lists it as uncharacterized. NCBI's taxonomy places the organism in Eukaryota, Metazoa, Chordata, Mammalia, Chiroptera, Vespertilionidae. The record is from RefSeq and is a predicted model, not a curated record. The transcript is spliced from 3 exons.
CCUUGGCCUAUCCAGUAGCUGGGUGCUGCUGGAAGUUGCUGGCCCCGCCUUCUCCAGCAUGGAGAGGAAAGGUGGAUACGGUGGCUCCAGUGGUCCAAAUCCUGUCAUUGUCUCCGUUACCUAGCCUCUGUGCCCUCCAGGACAGCCUCAGUACCAGUGCAGAGGAGCUUUGGAGAGGGUAGUGGUGAGGAGAAUGCUUCUGACUCUAGAUACCAGUGAAGCCACUGUCAAGAGCCUUUCUAGGGCUGGCAGGAAAAUGCAGCAAUGAGGGAAGAAUAAUGUCUCAAGACAAAGAGGUUAUAAUGGCCAUUAGAAAAAAAGUUUGCCCUCUGCCAGGAGGAAUCUAAGGGAUAUGGUAGACCAUUAUCAUCACAAGUUUUAUAAUUCAAGAAGCAUUCACUGAGCACUUAUGUACAAGGCAUGGUGCUGGGCAACUUGGAGGAGAUUCAAGAAACUUCCCAUCUAAUGGAAAUAAGGAAAGGAGGAGCAAAGUGGGCAGAGUCAGUGUAUCAUGCACAAAGAAGAUGUGAAGACUAUGA